Molecule: long non-coding RNA, 1032 nt
Organism: Pan troglodytes (chimpanzee)
Lineage: Eukaryota; Metazoa; Chordata; Mammalia; Primates; Hominidae
Exons: 3
Source: RefSeq, a predicted model, not a curated record
AUAUUUUUAGUAAUAAUUUUAGCCAGAUUAGAUUAAAACACAAUAUAAAUUACUUUUUAUAUAUUUAAAAUACUUCACCAAAUAUUUUAUGCAUUUCUAUGUCCUAUUUUAUUAGAAUUAAUAAUAAUAUAAUGUAUUGUCAAUUUUCUCCCUAAAUUGAAUAUAUUUCUCUACAGUUUUCUCAAGAGGGAUUUGCAGAGACAGGACGCUAUGAAAUUACCUCUCCCAUGCCCUCCACAGUACUAAGACUGAGGUACCUGUCUAUAUCAAAAGAUGAGUAGUACAAUGCAGAUGACUUAGCCAGGUGAUUCUUUACCUUUACACCAUCUUCUAUUAUAAGCUGAAUUGUCCCCUUCCCCAAAUUCAUAUAUUGAGUUUCUAACAUUCAGCUCCUCAUUUAAAGACAAGAUUUUUUAAAAGGUGACUAAAGUAAAAUGAGGUCACUGAUGUGGGCCUAAUCCAAUAGGACUGAUAUUCUUAGAAGAAAAAAGAUUAAGACACAGACAGAAGAAAGACCAUGUAAAGGCACAAGGAGAAGACAGCCAUUUACAAGCCAAGAAGAGAGGUCUCUGAAGAAACCAACCCUGCUGGCACCUUGCUCUUGGACUUCUGGCCUCCAGAUCUGUGAGGAAGUAAAUUUCUGUUGUUCAAGCAACCUGAAUUGGUUUACUUUCAAAUGGCAGCCCCAACAAACUGAUAGUUGGCUGACUAGGGAUGUUGGAUGCCAGGUCUCCUCAGAAAGAUCAAAGUUACAGGUGAAUGGCCAUGAUUUAAAUGGAAAUCUGAGGGAAUGAAGCAAGGACCUGUUGGAGCACCCAUGGGAAGAACCUGGGGCACAAAAGAGGAAAGCAGCAAGAGACUGGCAGAGAUUGUCUCCCUAGAAACCUGGACCACGAAAAGGGAUAUGGAUGUUACUUUUUCUCCAAGCAUAGGGAAAGUGCCUCUGAAAUAAAGAUUUUAUGACUUGCUUCAGGAAAGAAGAGCAAGAGGAAGGUGAGAGUGAUCUUCCUGAAUCUGCUGUUUUCUCGAAUG